AGUGAACGCUGGCGGUAGGCCUAACACAUGCAAGUCGAACGGCAGCACAGUAAGAGCUUGCUCUUACGGGUGGCGAGUGGCGGACGGGUGAGGAAUACAUCGGAAUCUACUUUUUCGUGGGGGAUAACGUAGGGAAACUUACGCUAAUACCGCAUACGACCUACGGGUGAAAGCAGGGGAUCUUCGGACCUUGCGCGAUUGAAUGAGCCGAUGUCGGAUUAGCUAGUUGGCGGGGUAAAGGCCCACCAAGGCGACGAUCCGUAGCUGGUCUGAGAGGAUGAUCAGCCACACUGGAACUGAGACACGGUCCAGACUCUUACGGGAGGCAGCAGUGGGGAAUAUUGGACAAUGGGCGCAAGCCUGAUCCAGCCAUACCGCGUGGGUGAAGAAGGCCUUCGGGUUGUAAAGCCCUUUUGUUGGGAAAGAAAAGCAGCAGGUUAAUACCCCGCUGUUCUGACGGUACCCAAAGAAUAAGCACCGGCUAACUUCGU
RNAcentral lists this ribosomal RNA (491 nucleotides) under uncultured bacterium. RNAcentral describes it as "partial 16S ribosomal RNA". It matches the Rfam family "Bacterial small subunit ribosomal RNA", at positions 29 to 506 of the family's 1533-position model. The record is from RNAcentral.